GGGUUCUCUAUGUUGGAAAGGGCUGAUUUUGGCACCAUUAACAAGAACAAGGUCCUACAAUUUCGUGGAUCAGCCGCACGCUACUCUUUAUUAUUCUCAGAGAACAAUGAAAGGUGGCUUUUUGUUGGGGAAGCCUCAGGUGUAUCAGAAACUGCACAAGGGUAGAUGAGGAAGCUAUGGACCUAAACAAGGAACUUAUAAACAAAUUACUUGAGCUUGAUGAUGCUGAUGCUGUUUAUACAGGUCAUAAAUAAUCAGUUUUAUAUCCGUGAAAGCUGUUCCGCAGCAGGUGAAAGUUUGUGAUUCAAAGGUAGUGAUGCUGCCUAUCAUUCACAAGUAAUUAUCAUGGGAGACCUAUAAACUUAUAACAUAAUAAUCUCACAUCGUGCUUACUUUCAUGGUUUGAUUUUUAGAAUAAUCUUACAAUAUUCAUUUGUUAACAACUGUUGUAUCUGUGAGCGGGACACUAUUAGGAUUUCAUUAUUAGAAAUUCAUAAAACAGGGGUAAAGUUAUAAGGAACUUUAUUCAUAUUUUUAGGGCUGUUUUAGAAAUAUAUUGGUAUGUUGUGCAAUUAGUUGGAGAUGAUCUCUUGAUGUCUAAUGCAACGUUGAGAGUGCAGUGCAAGAAUAUGCGUGUAAUGCUCUUUUUCUUAAGGUAAGUAAUUAUAAUUUAAAUGGACUUUGAAGGGGUUCCUUUGUUUAGUUCAAAAUUAUUCUCACUUUUUCUUCAUAUAAUUAAUCCUAUUUUGUUAAUAGAGGUAUUUGAAUAUCCAAUGUUUGAAAAAAGUUUUUUUUUGCGCAAAUACAUUAUAAAAUAGAGUUUACAAGUUUUUUACCCAUAUUAAACAACUCAUGCAUGAGCUAUUUUUGAUAAAUGUAUUUGUCAAACAUUUAUCUUUUUACUUUUCCUAGAAGAUAUGCAUAAAUUUAAUUUAUUUGUUAUGGUAAUUAUAAAUACAGAAUAAAAUCCAAAAACAACCAAUUAAGCAGAAUCCAGAAACUACUCUUUACUGUGAUAUACACCAUAAAGCUAUAGGAAGAAGUGAAAAACCCAAUGCUCAUGAAAGCAAUGAACAAACCAUUGCGGCUGCAAUGCUUUUCUCCAUUCAAACUUCAAUUUCGUGGUAAUGACUACUACCUCUGUUGAUAAGUUUAUUUUUUAAUUGAUUUUUUGUUAUUUUUUAAUUAAAAAUUCUGAGACAGAAGUACAAGUAUGAAUUUUAUUGAGAAAAUCAGACAGGUAGUAUGAUUUUUUGUAAAAUAAUUAUUUUGUCUUCAUAUAUUAAUAUGUUAUGACUUUGUUCAAGUUAAUUUUAUUGACAAAAAAAUUAUACUUUAUUUGCAAAUUGGUUUCUUGAAACUUAGCUUAUUACUCUUUAAAGCUUUUGCAUCUACCGUAGAGUAUUAAUAUUUUUUUUUUCAGUAUCUAUUAAAGUGUAUGCAAUUCUCCCUGAAGCUUUUCCUGGAUUUUGACAUUCUUUUAAGUCUAACGCAUUUCUUUCUAUUAAAAUGUCAAUUGCUGACAUUUUUCUAUCAUUCAAUAAACUUGAAAAAUAUACUUUUAUAUAUGUCAAAAGUUUUCUCUUCUUUUCUAAACAAAAGGUGCUCUCUUCAUUUGUGUGAUAGUAAUGUGUCUUUGUGAGGAAAUUCUAGCUCACAUAUGCUUUUUCUUUCUUUGAAUGCAUGAUAGUAAUGGUUUGAAUGCUUACAUAUGCUUUUUACUUUUCUUUUUUUCUUUACUUCUAUGGUGAGCUUUGUUAUUAUUUAUAUAUGUUGAUUUAUUUUUUAUUUUGUAAAUUUUUCUUUCAUAAAAGUUGCUUUGUUUAUUUAUUGACACCCUUCUCCAAUAAAAAUACUCCUAUUAGUACCUAUUCACUAUUGCAUAAAGUUGACCUUAAUGUUUUAUUCAUUUGUUUGCUAGCUAUUUUCACUAGCUACAUUUCUAUGCUAGGGACCAAGAAUUGAGUAUUUUGAAAUUUUAUCUAUUUGCAAUUGUUUUAAUGCAAUUUUGUACUGAUUUGGUAAAAAAAAUACUUAGAUUUUGGAGGUUAUCUAUUUUCGUUUCAAAAUUGAGAAGUUAGUUUUUUCUUUUUAUUUUGAACUUAUUAUUCAUCCUCCAUGAUAUACACCAAAUAUUAAAAGACAGAAAAUAAAAGUAUUUUUAUGAAUGAGGAGAUAAAAAUAGAAGAGAUCUUUAAGAAUGUUCAUCAUAACAAAAGAACUUGGGAGAGAUUUAAAUUUAAAAAGAAAUGGACAUGAAGCAUGUUUGUUCGCAAGGGGUGGGUGAGUGGUGAAUAGAAGAUGAUUUUGAGGCUGUGCAGGAUCUUAAUGUAAUGGUCGAGUGGUUACUGUAUAUGUAGUUUGUUUA
Arachis ipaensis is the source of this 2368-nucleotide non-coding RNA. The record is from RefSeq and is a predicted model, not a curated record. NCBI's taxonomy places the organism in Eukaryota, Viridiplantae, Streptophyta, Magnoliopsida, Fabales, Fabaceae.